AUAUUAGAACACAUAACUUGGACACUGAUGGUUAAUUUUAUGUGUCAGCAUUGUGGGGAGAAGUGGGAGCAAAAUGGGAAAAUCCUCUUCCCAUGAUAUUUCUCUAUAACAUGCAUCAAUGAUUAUUAUUUUUGAGCACCCACUGUCCCCCUCAGGCAUUGUGCUAUGAGAGAGAUCAUUUGUUGUUUCACUAUCCCUAUGAAAUAAGCAUUUCUAUCAUUCAAACUGUUGGUUGUGAGCAAGUUCUGUCAAACAAAAUGUGUUUAAAACAAAUAGGGGAAGGUAGCCAGGUGUGGUGGCUCAGAUGAUUGCUAGCAAUAAAGUAUUUUUAAUUAAGGUAUGUACAGUGGUUUUUAGAUGUAAUGGUAUUGCACACUUAAUACACUAUAGUGUAACUUUUACGUGCACUGGGAAAUCAAAAAUUCCUAUGACCCACUUUAUUGCAAUAUUUGUUUUAUUGAGGUGGCCUGCAACCAAACCUACAGUAUCUCUGAGUUAUGCCUGUGUAUAUUAUUUGGAGAACAUUGACUAGUACAGAUACUCAGCCGGAAUUCUGGAUACGCUUCAGGUAUGGCUGUAUCCAGGAUCUUUAACAAUGUCAUUAGGCUCCACCAUCUCUUGCCAGAUCUUAGACAAGAGUUAUUCAUAUGGUACAUGUGAUGGGUGACACUGGCAACCCUGGCUCAUGUCCUAAACGUAGCCACCUUAAGAAAGAAAGAACAUCUCCCUAUAUUCACCUGAUUAGCCUCCCUUGGGUCAUGUGUCUAUUCCUGAACCCAUCACUGUGAUCCAAGGAUGUGAUACAAUGGAAGGGCACCAGGAUUGAUAAAACCUAAGGAGUCCAGGAGUCUUACAAAGCAAGCCUGAGAGGAACACAAGGAUGGAUCAAGUAGGCACUGUGACUAUGCCCGUUUUACAGUUGAGGAAACUGGCCCAGAGUGUUUAAGUGAUUGGCCACGUACAAGCCUCAGAGCUGGUAAACAUCAAUGCCAGGAUUUAAGCCCAGGCCUCUCCACAGGGCCUUAAUUCCUUCUCCAUACUACCUCUCACCCUUUAGUCCUGGCCAAAAGCCAAAAUCUUCCAACACCCCAAUCCCUGGUCCUCACAUGCAGGUGCCCACCCUGCACCUGGCACAUAGUAGGGGUGCAGUAAGCUUAAGUACUGCCCCUGCAGCUGGACACAGCCCUCAGUGCCUUGCUACAGGCAGCUCUGUCUAAUCUGCCCCAUCAGAUCUUUAUUUGGAUCUUUCUCCCUGCCUCAGCUCUGAGAAGGAACCCGAGUGACCAGCUGAGCCUGCCAGGCAGUUGGCAUCAGUCCCCACCCAGCUGUCCCCAUCCUCUGAUACAUUUUUAUUCCUUUUGAGAACUACCCAAUUUAGACAGCUCAAAAACAGAUGUUUCUUAACAACUAUAGUUUCCAUGGGUAUUUUUGGUUCUCUAAUCUUGGUAAAUUGUUGGGAUUUUGCUGGUUCUCUGGGUAGAAGACAAAGCUGCUUCCAUCCAAGCCUCGCUUGUUAUGAUGGGCCUUGCUAUGGCAGCAGUGAGUUGGCAGAAUACUUAGACACAGCAUUCGUAUCUAUUGCUGCAAGCAAAUCUACCCCAGAACUUGGCAACUUAAAACAAUAAACAGUUGUUGUCUCACAGUUCCUGCGGGUCAGAAAUUCAGGAGCAACUUUAGUCUGAGCAGUUCUGACUCUGGGUCUCUCAUCAGGUUGCAGUCAGGAUGUCAGCUGCAGCUGCAGUCUCAUCUGAAGACUGAACUGGGGCUGGAGGAGCUGCUUCCAAGAUAGGCCACUCACACAGCUGCUGGCUGGAGAUCACAGGUCCUCACCACAUGGGUCUCUCCACUGGGCUGCUUGAAUAUCCCCACGACAUGGCAGCUGGCUUCCCUAGAGUGGGUGAUCCUCAAGAGAGCGAGGAGGGAGCCACAAUGUCUUUUAUGACCUUGCCUUGGAAGUUGCACACCAUCACUUCCACUUUGUUCUAUUCAUUAAAAGGGAGUCAGUAAGGCUAGCCCACACUCAAGAGAUGUAGAAUUAGGCUCCAUCUUUUGAAGGAAUUAUCAAAGACUGUGUGAACAUAUUUUAAACCAGCACAGACAAUAUGAUAUAAUGCAAAACUUGCCUCCAAUUCUUUACCCUUCUUUGUAUUCUCACCCUUGCCAAGCGACUUUGCAGUUCCUCCCGUUAAAAGAACAGAGUACCAUUUCCCACCUAUUGACCCUGGGUUUGGCCCUGUGACUUGCUAGGGUCAAUAGAAUGAGGCAGGAGUGACUCUGUGUGGUCCUGAGUCUAGGCCUCAAGAGACUUUGUGUGUUUCUGCUCACCCCCUUGCACUCCUGCCAUGAGCAGGAGGGGAAUAUGCCAAGGCUAGUCCACUGAUCCCAGGACAGGAUGAGAGACACAUGGAUGAGCACACAGCUGCCCAGCUGAGCCCAGCCUGGCUCAGCCAACCCACAUUAGACAUGCGAGCUAAAUCAACACUUACUGUCCUACAGCACAGAGAUUUGGGGGAUUGUUUGUUACACAGCAUUACCAUCACCACACUUAACUGACAGAGGCAUGUGGGCUUGAAAGUCAGCCAGUCUUGGCUUCAAGUGUCAGCUCCCCCACUCUUCAGCCACGUGACCCUGGACAAAGCACUUCACUUCCCUGAGCCCCCAGCGACCUCAUCUGUAAAAUGGGUAUCAUGACAUCACCUCUCUCAUAGAGGCUUUGUGAUGAUUAAGAUCAUGCCAGUAAAGUGCUUUGAGCACCAUCCUGCCCCAUUGUGAUUAUUAGGAAUGACACAUCUGGGCCUAUUGUCCCAAUAUUGAUGUGCAGCCAACAGUAGGAUUAAUUCUCUAGCUCAGACACCUGCUAUAGCUCCCUAGUUCCAGGUUCUCCAGUGUGGUCUCCCAAGGCUCCCUUCCCCCUCUCAUGCUCACUGACCACUCACCCUCAGUCUCUUACCAGCCAGGACAGGCAGCUGAUGAACAUCUUGGACCCAGAGCUCCAGCCCCACACACCCGUGACCUUCCCUCCACACCAGGCCACCUCGUUGUCCCUGCUCAGCUCCUAUGAGACUGUGGGACAGUCUCUAACCUCCCUGGGCAACUCAUGUAGGGGUGGAUGGCACAGGCUAUUGAGUCAGCCACACUGGGCUCUGAAUUCUGCCUUCACCACUUACCAGCUGGGUGACUUUCGGAAGUGAUUGUACCUCUCUAGACUUCUGUUUACUCACCUGCAAAAUGAGGGUCAUUAUAAUACUUAGUUUAUCAGGUAGUUGUGGGGAUUUGAUACUAUCAGACAUAUAAAAUCAUUCUCCUAUGCCAGGCACGUUUAAAGUGUAAGUACUGGUAGUUAGCUAACAUUUACUACAACUAACAAUAAUGUCUCCAUCUGUGAAUGAAGGGGCUGGAUUUGUCUAAAGUUUCUUUGGACACUGACGUUGGAAGCAUAAGCUGAAGGGUUUCUGUGUGUGGGAGUACAAGGAGAAGAGUCCCCAUGGACAGAAUUCCAGGUUGUCACUUCCAACACUAUUAUCUGCUUUACAUACUGGGAUGCUUUAUGUGAGGUUAUCCAGGAAACAAUUUCUUUGCUUAAAAAAAAAAAAGUUUGGGGCCAGGUGCGGUGGCUCAUGACUGUAAUCCCAGCACUUUGGGAGGCUAAUAGGGGCAGAUCACCUGAGGUCAGGAGUUCGAGACCAGCUUGACCAACAUGGUGAAACCCCAUCCGUCUCUACUAAAAAUACAAAAUUAGCAGGGCGUGGUGGCACAUGCCUGUAAUCCUAGCUACUUGGGAGGCUGAGACAGGAGAAUCACUUGAACCUGAGAGGCAGAGGUUGUGGUGAACCAAGAUUACACCAUUGCACUCCAGCCUGGGCAACGAGAGCUAAACUCCAUCUCAAAAAAAAAAAAAAGAAAAAAAGUUUGGAAACCACUGGAUCAAGUGGUCUUUAAGGGCCUUCCCGGCUUUCCCUUUUGGGAUUUCACUGCAAGAAGCCAACUAAAGGCUGAGCAGUGGGUACAAGGGGCUGCAGCGCUUAAGUUCAGCCUCUAGAAACUUCAAGGGCCAAGCAAAAGUCAUUCCCUGGCUCCAGGCGUGGUGCAGUGCCUCUAUGAUCGCCACCCCCCGGAACACCCACUCUCUGAUGGCUUCUGUCCUCCAGACCUCGCCAUGCUCUGUUUCCUUUUGUGUAUUUAAAACCCACUUCUUGGCUCCCAGCCACAGUCUGCUAGAAGUUAACAAUGUGGAGCGGGGAGGUUGAAGACGCAAAUCAAAUAAACUCCCUGAACUGAAACCCCAGCAGUAGGAAUCUUCAGAGGGCUGGCUGGUUCAGGGAGUGGGCUUUCCAGCUCCCUGUCUUUUUUGAUCUUUCAUUAAGAGCUUGUUUUGAUUCUGUGGUUGCUACGAUACGGGAGCAUUUGGUGGCUGUUUCUAAGAGGCCACGUGGAUGACUGUGUCUGUUCCACCUCAUCACAAGAACACAGUGGGUGGCCAAGCUUGGAGGCUAAGUGAGGAGGGUAGGAUUGGAGGUCAGGGACAGGGGCUGUUUAAUGGGGUCUACAGGAGGAGCUGAGCUGGCUCCAAGGUGUGGCAACCACAACCACUGUUACCCACCCCAUGGACAUUGCCUGCAGAGUCUAUUCACCUCUGACACGCUGGGUGACCUACAGAAAGUCUCUCCACCUCUCCGAGCCACAGUAUACUUAUCUGUCGAAGAAGGUGACUGAAUGACAUGUGCCUGAAUGACCUCACAAGGGUGAGGAAAAGAAGUGGGACAAGAAAAAUGAAUCCUAGUCGAGUGUCGUUACAGGCUACACAUCAUCUCAUGUCAUCCUUACGACACCGCCAUUUCAUGGAUGUAGAAGGUGAGACCCGGAGCAGUGCAGUGACCUGUUCAAAGUUGCACAGCCUGGGAGACGAGGCUGGGACAGCUCCACUCACACCUCCCAUGCUCAAUGUUUUUCCAUUUUUAAUUUUUUGUGGAUACAUG
RNAcentral lists this long non-coding RNA (4976 nucleotides) under Homo sapiens (human). RNAcentral's name for it is "HSALNT0276155". The record is from RNAcentral. Lineage: Eukaryota; Metazoa; Chordata; Mammalia; Primates; Hominidae.